AACGCUAGCUACAGGCUUAACACAUGCAAGUCGAGGGGCAGCGGGAUUGAAGCUUGCUUCAAUUGCCGGCGACCGGCGCACGGGUGAGUAACGCGUAUCCAACCUUCCGUACACUCAGGGAUAGCCUUUCGAAAGAAAGAUUAAUACCUGAUGGUAUCUUAAGCACACAUGUAAUUAAGAUUAAAGAUUUAUCGGUGUACGAUGGGGAUGCGUUCCAUUAGGUAGUAGGCGGGGUAACGGCCCACCUAGCCAACGAUGGAUAGGGGUUCUGAGAGGAAGGUCCCCCACAUUGGUACUGAGACACGGACCAAACUCCUACGGGAGGCAGCAGUGAGGAAUAUUGGUCAAUGGACGCGAGUCUGAACCAGCCAAGUAGCGUGAAGGAUGACUGCCCUAUGGGUUGUAAACUUCUUUUAUAUGGGAAUAAAGUGGUCCACGUGUGGAUUUUUGUAUGUACCAUAUGAAUAAGGAUCGGCUAACUCCGUGCCAGCAGCCGCGGUAAUACGGAGGAUCCGAGCGUUACCCGGAUUUAUUGGGUUUAAAGGGAGCGUAGAUGGAUGUUUAAGUCAGUUGUGAAAGUUUGCGGCUCAACCGUAAAAUUGCAGUUGAUACUGGAUAUCUUGAGUGCAGUUGAGGCAGGCGGAAUUCGUGGUGUAGCGGUGAAAUGCUUAGAUAUCACGAAGAACUCCGAUUG
RNAcentral lists this ribosomal RNA (694 nucleotides) under uncultured Bacteroidales bacterium. Its description in RNAcentral is "bacterial SSU rRNA". It matches the Rfam family "Bacterial small subunit ribosomal RNA", at positions 32 to 715 of the family's 1533-position model. The record is from RNAcentral. Lineage: Bacteria; Pseudomonadati; Bacteroidota; Bacteroidia; Bacteroidales.